This 483-nucleotide ribosomal RNA is filed under the name uncultured bacterium. Its description in RNAcentral is "partial 16S ribosomal RNA". It matches the Rfam family "Bacterial small subunit ribosomal RNA", at positions 30 to 506 of the family's 1533-position model. The record is from RNAcentral.
AUUGAACGCUGGCGGCAGGCCUAACACAUGCAAGUCGAGCGGAUGAAGGGAGCUUGCUCCUGGAUUCAGCGGCGGACGGGUGAGUAAUGCCUAGGAAUCUGCCUGGUAGUGGGGGAUAACGUCCGGAAACGGGCGCUAAUACCGCAUACGUCCUGAGGGAGAAAGUGGGGGAUCUUCGGACCUCACGCUAUCAGAUGAGCCUAGGUCGGAUUAGCUAGUUGGUGGGGUAAAGGCCUACCAAGGCGACGAUCCGUAACUGGUCUGAGAGGAUGAUCAGUCACCGUGGAAUGGAGACACGGCCCAGACCCCGACGGGGGGCCGCUGGGGGAAAUUUGGGAAAAUGGGCGAAAGCCUGCUCCAGCCAUGCCGCGGGUGUGAAAAAGGUUUUCGGUUUUUAAAGCCCUUUAAGUUGGGGGGAAGGGCAGUAAGUUAAUCCCUUGCUUUUUUGACGUUACCAACAAAAUAAGCCCCGCCUACCUUCGG